The sequence is a transfer RNA, 93 nucleotides long. It matches the Rfam family "tRNA". From Rfam's summary of the family: Transfer RNA (tRNA) molecules are approximately 80 nucleotides in length. Their secondary structure includes four short double-helical elements and three loops (D, anti-codon, and T loops).
GUCACUUUGCCGGAGUGGUUAACGGGAUCGCCUGCUACAAAUGCAAACAGCGGUUGGUCUUUGACCGCGAGUGUUCGAAUCGCUCAGGUGACG